Molecule: long non-coding RNA, 321 nt
Filed under: Vigna radiata
Lineage: Eukaryota; Viridiplantae; Streptophyta; Magnoliopsida; Fabales; Fabaceae
Description: long non-coding RNA (VRAD_LNC002231)
Source: RNAcentral
GGGUUCAGUCUGUGUUGAAGGAGAUGAAGGUGUGGUGAAGUAAAGAAUUGUAAACGAGUUUAAUGUUUGUAACCAUUACUGUUGUGGUAAAAUGCGUGCUAAUGAACAGUAAUAAACAGUAGGAGUAUCAGAGAACCCAGCCCAAAUCGCGUUGGAGAAUAUCAUAGAUAUUAAAGAAAAUAGUGAUAUCAUGACACGACACCUACGUUAAAUAAUUCAUGAAGACAUAACGUGCCAUGCAAUAGUUCCCUAUCGUAUCCUAAUUUGUAAAAUUUGAGGAAUGGGUAUAAGCUCAUAGCAUAUUCUUCGUAUCUUUACCCC